AUCCAGCUGACGAGUCCCAAAUAGGAUGAAACGUGGAUCGGACUGGAU
This is a non-coding RNA of Schistosoma curassoni, 48 nucleotides long. The record is from Rfam. NCBI's taxonomy places the organism in Eukaryota, Metazoa, Platyhelminthes, Trematoda, Strigeidida, Schistosomatidae.